Molecule: long non-coding RNA, 1335 nt
Filed under: Marmota monax (woodchuck)
Lineage: Eukaryota; Metazoa; Chordata; Mammalia; Rodentia; Sciuridae
Source: RNAcentral
GAAUAAUGCUCCAGAAUUAGAUUAUGGUGAUAGUUGUACAACAUAGUAAAUAUACCGAAAUGUAUACUGUAAAAUGGUGAUUUUUAUGUUCUAUGAAAUAUUUCUCAAUUUUUAAAAUGCUGUAAAGGAAAUAAAGUUAAGUGACAAGUGUUAUACUUGUAUCCCAAAUAUCAAUUUUGGGUUCUAUCAAUUGCGAAACAGCCAUCUAUGUGAAAAUGACUUGGAAUUUUUAGAUGAUUGUUGCUUAAAAGAGACAACUUUGCAAUCUAUCUGCAGGGAAACCUAAUGUAAUCUUUGAUUACAAUCAACUAUAUUCUAGUUAAGGGAGAGAAUAGUCAUGUUUUCUUCUAUAUUCAUUAGAGUGAGCCAUAUCUAGGGUCUUGAGUUUAAUUCUGAGCAUUUAAGACAAAAUUUAGUCAUAAAAGGAAGUUAAUUAUUUAUGAUGUAAUGCAAUAGAUGAAUCUCAAAAGCGUUAUGCUGAUAAAAGAAGCCAGAUACAAAAGGCUAAUAUUUUUAUUACUCUAUUUAUACAACAUUCUGGAAAAGACAAGACUAACUACAUGAAUAAAAUUGUAUUGGUGGUUGCAGGUUAUCAGAAGAUGGGAGUAACUGAAAAGGGGUACAAUAUGGUAGGGUGAUGUAAAAUGCUUUGAUUGUGGUGGUAACUGUACAAUGACACAUUUGUCAACUCAUGAAACUGCAUACUCCAAAGGGUACUUUUACUUACUUAUUUUCUUACUUAAAUAAGAAAGGAAUACUGACAAGUUGAAUUUUAGAAUAGUAACAAGUUGAAUUUUCCCUAGAUCAGAAACAAAGGUUGUUUCUGAUUCUGGGCCAUUUUGAAUAAAAGCUGUUGUCCACACUCAUAUACAGAUUUCUACAUGAACAUUAAAUCUUGAUUUCUUUGGUGCCUGGGAGUUUAAUUGUGGAUUUAUAUGGUAGUUGAAUGUUUAGUUUUUCAUGAAACUGCAGAAUUGUUUUCCAUCAUAGUUGUGCUAUUUUUAUGUUCCCACUAGAAAUAUGUGAGUGAUCUAGUUUCUCCAAAUUGCCAGCAUUUGAUCCCUCUAUUUUCUAUUUGAGUCAGAUUUGGUCAGUGCUUUCUCAGUUUUAGCAAAAAAGUCCAACAUCUCUGGAAAAUACCUCUCAGCCCUAGGGAAAUUGGGGUUAGAGUAGUUAUGAUAGUAAAGAAGCUUGGAACAAUGUAUACUGAGAAAAACACAAAGGAAGCAGACUAAAGGACUGUUAUGUGUCUGAUGAGUUGGCCACUAAUACAGGAAAGUAUUAGUUCUAGAACAAAGCAGAUUUUGCCUUAAAAAGCAAAGAACAAGUCCCAUC